Molecule: ribosomal RNA, 497 nt
Filed under: uncultured bacterium
Lineage: Bacteria
Description: partial 16S ribosomal RNA
Rfam family: Bacterial small subunit ribosomal RNA
Source: RNAcentral
GAUGAACGCUGGCGGCGUGCCUAAUACAUGCAAGUCGAGCGAACAGACGAGGAGCUUGCUCCUCUGACGUUAGCGGCGGACGGGUGAGUAACACGUGGAUAACCUACCUAUAAGACUGGGAUAACUUCGGGAAACCGGAGCUAAUACCGGAUAAUAUAUUGAACCGCAUGGUUCAAUAGUGAAAGACGGUUUUGCUGUCACUUAUAGAUGGAUCCGCGCCGCAUUAGCUAGUUGGUAAGGUAACGGCUUACCAAGGCGACGAUGCGUAGCCGACCUGAGAGGGUGAUCGGCCACACUGGAACUGAGACACGGUCCAGACUCCUACGGGAGGCAGCAGUAGGGAAUCUUCGGCAAUGGGCGAAAGCCUGACGGAGCAACGCCGCGUGAGUGAUGAAGGUCUUCGGAUCGUAAAACUCUGUUAUUAGGGAAGAACAAAUGUGUAAGUAACUAUGCACGUCUUGACGGUACCUAAUCAGAAAGCCACGGCUAACUACGUG